CGGGAGGGAGCAGGGGGGAAUAAUGGAGCAAAGGGGGCAACCCUGAGGCAGCCAUGCCGCGUGAGUGAUGACGACCGUAGGGUGGUAAAGCUCGUUUCUCCGGGACGAUAAUGACGGUACCGGAGGAAUAAGCCCCGGGUAACUUGGUGCCAGCAGCCGCGGUAAUACGAAGGGGGCUAGCGUUGCUCGGAAUCACUGGGCGUAAAGGGCGCGUAGGCGGCUGAUUUAGUCGAGGGUGAAAGCCCGUGGCUCAACCACGGAAUGGCCUUCGAUACUGGUUGGCUUGAGACCGGAAGAGGACAGCGGAACUGCGAGUGUAGAGGUGCAAUUCGUAGAUAUUCGCAAGAACACCAGUGGCGAAGGCGGCUGUCUGGUCCGGUUCUGACGCUGAGGCGCGAAAGCGUGGGGAGCAAACAGCAUUGGAUACCCUGGUAGU
This 436-nucleotide ribosomal RNA is filed under the name uncultured bacterium. RNAcentral's name for it is "bacterial SSU rRNA". It matches the Rfam family "Bacterial small subunit ribosomal RNA", at positions 342 to 794 of the family's 1533-position model. The record is from RNAcentral.